This 468-nucleotide ribosomal RNA is filed under the name uncultured bacterium. RNAcentral describes it as "partial 16S ribosomal RNA". It matches the Rfam family "Bacterial small subunit ribosomal RNA", at positions 28 to 507 of the family's 1533-position model. The record is from RNAcentral.
GACGAACGCUGGCGGCGUGCUUAACACAUGCAAGUCGAACGGAAAGGCCCUGCUUUUGUGGGGUGCUCGAGUGGCGAACGGGUGAGUAACACGUGAGUAACCUGCCCUUGACUUUGGGAUAACUUCAGGAAACUGGGGCUAAUACCGGAUAGGAGCUCCUGCUGCAUGGUGGGGGUUGGAAAGUUUCGGCGGUUGGGGAUGGACUCGCGGCUUAUCCGCUUGUUGGUGGGGUAGUGGCUUACCAAGGCUUUGACGGGUAGCCGGCCUGAGAGGGUGACCGGCCACAUUGGGACUGAGAGACGGCCCAGACUCCUACGGGAGGCAGCAGUGGGGAAUAUUGCACGAUGGGCGGAAGCCUGAUGCAGCAACGCCGCGUGCGGGAUGACGGCCUUCGGGUUGUAAACCGCUUUCGCCUGUGACGAAGCGUGAGUGACGGUAAUGGGUAAAGAAGCACCGGCUAACUACGUG